Molecule: ribosomal RNA, 253 nt
Filed under: uncultured bacterium
Lineage: Bacteria
Description: partial 16S ribosomal RNA
Rfam family: Bacterial small subunit ribosomal RNA
Source: RNAcentral
UACGUAGGGUGCGAGCGUUAAUCGGAAUUACUGGGCGUAAAGCGUGCGCAGGCGGUUCGUUGUGUCGGCGGUGAAAGCCCCGGGCUUAACCUGGGAAUGGCCGUCGAAACUGGCGAACUGGAGUGUGGCAGAGGGGGGUGGAAUUCCGCGUGUAGCAGUGAAAUGCGUAGAGAUGUGGAGGAAUACCGAUGGCGAAGGCAGCCCCCUGGGUCAAUACUGACGCUCAUGCACGAAAGCGUGGGGAGCAAACAGG